This 462-nucleotide ribosomal RNA is filed under the name uncultured bacterium. RNAcentral describes it as "SSU rRNA". It matches the Rfam family "Bacterial small subunit ribosomal RNA", at positions 26 to 518 of the family's 1533-position model. The record is from RNAcentral.
AGGAUUAACGCUGGCGGCGUGCCUAACACAUGCAAGUCGAACGAGGGGGCAACCCCUAGUGGCAGACGGGUGAGUAACACGUGGUCAACCUACCGUUUGUGGGGGAUAACCAGCCGAAAGGUUGGCUAAUACCGCAUACGUCCACGGCCGGCAUCGGCUGUUGAUAAAAGGAGCAAUCCGCAAGACGACGGGACCGCGUCCCAUUAGCUAGUUGGUGAGGUAACGGCCCACCAAGGCUCCGAUGGGUAGCUGGUUUGAGAGAGCGACCAGCCACACUGGAACUGAGAAACGGUCCAGACUCCUACGGGAGGCGGCAGUGAGGAAUUUUCCGCAAUGGGCGAAAGCCUGACGGAGCGACGCCGCGUGUGGGAAGAAGGCCUUCGGGUCGUAAACCACUGUCGAAGGGAAGAUAUUGACGGUACCCUUGGAGGAAGCCCCGGCUAACUACGUGCCAGCAGCCGC